RNAcentral lists this transfer RNA (73 nucleotides) under Aedes aegypti (yellow fever mosquito). It matches the Rfam family "tRNA". From Rfam's summary of the family: Transfer RNA (tRNA) molecules are approximately 80 nucleotides in length. Lineage: Eukaryota; Metazoa; Arthropoda; Insecta; Diptera; Culicidae. The record is from Rfam by way of RNAcentral.
CUUUUCGUGGUGUAAGGGUAACGCGCUCUAUCUAGUGAACAGGUUGUCGCGAGUUCGAUUCUCACCGAGAAGA